RNAcentral lists this transfer RNA (83 nucleotides) under Hanseniaspora guilliermondii. RNAcentral describes it as "transfer RNA-Ser(TGA)". It matches the Rfam family "tRNA". From Rfam's summary of the family: Transfer RNA (tRNA) molecules are approximately 80 nucleotides in length. Their secondary structure includes four short double-helical elements and three loops (D, anti-codon, and T loops). RNAcentral also lists the same sequence under 1 other name. The record is from RNAcentral. Lineage: Eukaryota; Fungi; Ascomycota; Saccharomycetes; Saccharomycodales; Saccharomycodaceae.
AAUACAGUGCUUGAGAGGUCUAAAAGGUUAUACUUGAAAUAUAAUGAUUAAUAAUCGCAAAGGUUCGAAUCCUUUCUGUAUUA